AACUUUUCAGCUAGAGUAUGAUAGAGGAAAGCAGAAUUUCUAGUGUAGAGGUGAAAUUCGUAGAUAUUAGAAAGAAUACCAAUUGCGAAGGCAGCUUUCUGGAUCAUUACUGACACUGAGGAACGAAAGCAUGGGUAGCGAAGAGGAUUAGAUACCCUCGUAGUCCAUGCCGUAAACGAUGUGUGUUAGACGUUGGAAAUUUAUUUUC
Molecule: ribosomal RNA, 208 nt
Filed under: uncultured bacterium
Lineage: Bacteria
Description: partial 16S ribosomal RNA
Rfam family: Bacterial small subunit ribosomal RNA
Source: RNAcentral